This 581-nucleotide ribosomal RNA is filed under the name Lactobacillus sp. RNAcentral describes it as "bacterial SSU rRNA". It matches the Rfam family "Bacterial small subunit ribosomal RNA", at positions 353 to 927 of the family's 1533-position model. Lineage: Bacteria; Bacillati; Bacillota; Bacilli; Lactobacillales; Lactobacillaceae. The record is from RNAcentral.
AGUAGGGAUCUUCCACAAUGGACGAAAGUCUGAUGGAGCAACGCCGCGUGAGUGAAGAAGGUUUUCGGAUCGUAAAACUCUGUUGUUGGAGAAGAAUGUAUCUGAUAGUAACUGAUCAGGUAGUGACGGUAUCCAACCAGAAAGCCACGGCUAACUACGUGCCAGCAGCCGCGGUAAUACGUAGGUGGCAAGCGUUGUCCGGAUUUAUUGGGCGUAAAGCGAGCGCAGGCGGUUUCUUAAGUCUGAUGUGAAAGCCUUCGGCUCAACCGAAGAAGUGCAUCGGAAACUGGGAAACUUGAGUGCAGAAGAGGACAGUGGAACUCCAUGUGUAGCGGUGAAAUGCGUAGAUAUAUGGAAGAACACCAGUGGCGAAGGCGGCUGUCUGGUCUGUAACUGACGCUGAGGCUCGAAAGCAUGGGUAGCAAACAGGAUUAGAUACCCUGGUAGUCCAUGCCGUAAACGAUGAGUGCUAGGUGUUGGAGGGUUUCCGCCCUUCAGUGCCGCAGCUAACGCAUUAAGCACUCCGCCUGGGGAGUACGACCGCAAGGUUGAAACUCAAAGGAAUUGACGGGGCCCCCCCA